AGUCCUGUAGCAUAGUGGUCAGUGCGCUCGCCUCAAAAGCGAGAGGUCCCGGGUUCGAUUCCCGGGUGGGGCGA
This is a non-coding RNA of Callorhinchus milii (elephant shark), 74 nucleotides long. The record is from the annotation of a RefSeq genome assembly. NCBI's taxonomy places the organism in Eukaryota, Metazoa, Chordata, Chondrichthyes, Chimaeriformes, Callorhinchidae.